This 459-nucleotide ribosomal RNA is filed under the name uncultured bacterium. RNAcentral describes it as "partial 16S ribosomal RNA". It matches the Rfam family "Bacterial small subunit ribosomal RNA", at positions 338 to 795 of the family's 1533-position model. The record is from RNAcentral.
CCUACGGGAGGCAGCAGUGAGGAAUAUUGGUCAAUGGCCGGAAGGCUGACCCAGCCAAGCCGCGUGAAGGACGAAGGUGCCAAGCAUUGUAAACUUCUUUUGUCAAGGGACAAAAUCAGGCUCGAGAGCCUGACCGCGGGUACUUGAAGAAAAAGCAUCGGCUAACUCCGUGCCAGCAGCCUCGGUAAUACGGAGGAUGCGAGCGUUAUCCGGAUUUAUUGGGUUUAAAGGGUGCGUAGGCGGACUGUUAAGUCAGCGGUAAAAGCCCGGGGCUCAACCCCGGCGAGCCGUUGAAAAUGGCUGUCUUGAGAUGUCGAGAGGUAUGCGGAAUGCGCAGUGUAGCGGUGAAAUGCGUAGAUAUUGCGCAGAACUCCGAUUGCGAAGGCAGCAUACCGGCGGCGAUCUGACGCUGAGGCACGAAAGCGUGGGUAUCGAACAGGAUUAGAUACCCCGGUAGUC